RNAcentral lists this ribosomal RNA (402 nucleotides) under uncultured bacterium. RNAcentral's name for it is "bacterial SSU rRNA". It matches the Rfam family "Bacterial small subunit ribosomal RNA", at positions 355 to 774 of the family's 1533-position model. The record is from RNAcentral.
UAGGGAAUAUUGGUAAUGUGCGAAAGCGCGAACCAGCAACGCCGCGUGCACGAUGAAGGCCUUCGGGUCGUAAAGUGCUUUUAGAGAGGAUGAGGAAGGACAGUACUUUCUGAAUAAGCCUCGGCUAACUACGUGCCAGCAGCCGCGGUAAAACGUAGGAGGCUAGCGUUAUCCGGAUUUACUGGGCGUAAAGCGCAUGCAGGUGGUUUUGUAAGUUGGAUGUGAAAGCUCCUGGCUUAACUGGGAGAGGUCGUUCAAAACUACAAGACUUGAGAUUGGUAGAGGAAAAUGGAAUCCCGGGUGUAGUGGUGAAAUGCGUAGAUAUCCGGAGGAACACCAGUGGCGAAAGCGGUUUUCUGGACCAAUUCUGACACUCAGAUGCGAAAGCUAAGGUAGCAAACG